Molecule: long non-coding RNA, 10492 nt
Organism: Orcinus orca (killer whale)
Lineage: Eukaryota; Metazoa; Chordata; Mammalia; Artiodactyla; Delphinidae
Exons: 4
Source: RefSeq, a predicted model, not a curated record
ACGUCAAAGCGGGGCUCAGAUACAAUAGGCCGCGCAGUAGGACGUAUGGCUAGGGGACGGUCGCGAGCGCAGCUCCUCACUGUACUUUGCUGGGCAAAGGCGGCACGCCACGCCCCGUCCGGCUCGUGACGUCACUCCGGCGCCGCUAGGAGCGUUUCCUACUUACCUCGCUCCCGGAUCGUUGUCGGGCUGGUCGCCCGUCCGCCCGGCUUCAGCCACUACCCAAAGGGCUCGAGCGGCCCUGCGGCCCGGAGACCCAGUGCGCGUCGCGAGAGCUCAGGAGCAGCGGACAGUGAGAGGAAAGCUAGCUGAGCAGAGGAAGCACAGCGACGCAGCCACAGUUUUGGAACAGUACGCCCAGCUGGAAUAAUUCAACAUAUCUACUACAGAAAGAAAACAAACCCACUAGAGCCAAGCAGGAAAGCAGUGCCUCCUCUGUCUUUAUCCCGGUUUCAGUGAUAGUCUCUCACAGCUCAGGGCAUGGUCAAUGUGCUGAAUAAACAUGAUACAUACGCUGAUAUUCUGGAGUUACUGUGGGAAUAUUUGCCACUCAUGUCACUGCCACUCACGACACUGCUAGUUUCAGAGAAGAGAUCUGACUCUUGACCGUGGGGUGCCUCAUCAUCUAGAGGAGAAGAACCAGACAGCAUGAAAACUACCUGCAAAUGAGGGUUUACCUUCAGUGGGGUAAGGGAACUACAGUUAACCAGGUCAUAUCUAAGGACAUGAAAACUAGUACACAGUCGAUCUCAAAAUGAAAUAGAUAAUAUAUACAGUUUUAUUACUGUAAACUAGUACUUUACCAAACUUCUUUAUUCUUUUUACAUAAAAAAUUUUUACUUAUUUAUUUAUUUAUCUAGCUAGCUAGCUGCGCUGGGUCUUAGUUGUGGCAUAUGGGAUCUUUGUGGCCGUGUGCAAGAUCUUCGUUGUGGCAUGUGGGAUCUAGUUCCCUGACCAGGGAUCGAACCUCGGCACCCUGCGUUGGGAGUGCAGAGUCUUAACCACUGGACCACCAGGCAAUUUUUUUUUUUUUUUUUUUUUUUAAAGCAAAGGAACUUCUGGAAAUGAGGAGAUCACUGUGUAAAUACAGUAGUCUGCUGCUCUGGUCGGGGUGUGGAGAGAACGUUUGGCAGACCUCUGCCCAUUGGUGCCUGGUCCUGCCCCCAAGCUCUCACCAGUACCCACAACAAAGACCCUCACAGACCCUCAGAGGCCUCGGACUUCCACUUGGCACAGUAAUGACACUGCGGGAGGGACAGUAAGCAGCUGAGACAAAGCGCGAUGCUGCCCCUCACCACCCCCCAGCAUUGGUGUCUUCAGGUGGGCACUCACCCAGAUGCACCUGCUGUGCUUGCUCUUUGAGCUCCCGCACCACCAAUAGACGUGCUUUAUGGCGACUGAAGGUGGCUGUCUGAGAGUCCAGAAACGCCAUAUAAUUUUUCUGGGCUAAGGGUGCAGAUGGAAAAUAAUUUCAGCACGUUUAAACAAAGAGAUAAAACUAGAGUGGGGGUGGUUAGUGAGGGAGUUGGAGCUUAACAAAGAAAAGAAGUUACCAGGUUUUUCAAGCAAGAAUUUUUUCUUUAAUGAGAAGUAACCAACAUUGCUAUAGGAGAAAGAACUAGAGAUUGAGAUUCCAGAUCUUAAAGUUCAUCAACAUCAUCCUAGAGGGCUUCCCUGGUGGCGCAGUGGUUGAGAGUCCGCCUGCCGAUGCAGGGGACAUGGGUUCAUGCCCCGGUCCAAGAAGAUCCCACAUGCCGCGGAGCGGCUGGGCCCGUGAGCCAUGGCUGCUGAGCCUGCACGUCCAGAGCCUGUGCUCCACAACGGGAGAGGCCACAACAGUGAGAGGCCCGCGUACAGCAAAAACAAAACAAAACAAAACAUCAUCCAAGAAUACUCUCUACCACUAAACUUACAAAAUCACCUGAACAAAAGACUUGGUAUCUAACCCAAGAGAAGACUAGUAAAUAAAAGGAGUGCACAGGAAGCCACUAACAAAAAUAGGAGGAAAGUCUCUGAAAUGCUUCUUAAACAUAUAAGUAUUAGGUCUUUGUAGUUUUUCAUCUACAAAUACCCAAUACUUAUAUGUUUAAGAAGCACUUUUUCUAGGUUCUAAUUAGUGGAGAAAAAUCCAAGUAAGAGUGGGCUAGAUGGAUUGUUACAGGGCCAGGAAGGAUGCUUCCAGUAUCCAGUUAGGAGUACCUAAAGUGAAUGAUACACAAAGAACCCUCCCAGUUUUGAGUAGGACAGGGUAGUAGAGAGCAGGCAGGGUAAGAAUAUAAAUACAUGUUAAUGUCAGAAAGGCCAGACAUUACUUACAGGGUAGACUGUGCAGAGCUUAAAAUCAACCUCUACUCCCAAAGACUUUUAUAAGUCCAACUGAUGUCCUUCUUUUACACUUUGCUUUUAAGGGAUACAGCGAACACCAGAGUAUUCUAGAACUGAUAACACUCAUCUGUUAUUGAGGAACCAUCUGCAAAGGUUCUUCUUUUUAUUAUUAUUUUCUGGGCCGCGCCACACAGCAUGCAGGAUCUUAGUUCCCCGACCAGGGGUCAAACCCGAGGCCCCUGCAGUGGUAGUGCAGAGUCUAAACCACUGGACCACCAGGGAAGUCCCUUCUUAUUUUUAAAAAAUUUUUAUUUUGAAAAAGUUUCAAACCUACUUAAAGGUUGCAGUAAUUCGAUGUACAUACAUAUACCCUUCACUUAGAUUUAUCAAUUAUUAACAUUUUGCCAUAUUUUUGGCUGCCUCUGUUUCUACACACACACAUUUUUGUGGAACCCUCUGAGAGGAAGUUGCAGAUAUGAUUCUUCCCUCUUAAAUACUUCAGCAUCUCUCUCUUAAGAAUCAGGAUAUCAUCUAUAUAACCACAAUACAAUUAUUAAAUGCAGGAAAUUAACCAUUUGAUACAAUAUUAUCUAAUAUACAGUUCAUAUUUGAGUUUACCAACUAUUCCCAAAGAUUCUUAAUUGUAUCUUAUCACAGGUUUUUAACAUUCAAAUAAGUUAUGUGCUACUAUUUAGCAACACAGCAUAUUUAAAAACCAUGUUCAGAAGUAAAUUUCACACCCAGUGGAGAACUCUGAUUGACUCGAUAUAAUGAGUCCUUUCAUCACUGACAUGAUUAAAGGAUGUAAUAGCACAGGCAGUACUCUCCCGUCUCCCUCUCCCCCCGCAGUUCUAUACUUCCAAAUCAGGAAUUCUAUCUAAAUGUAACCCUCACCUUCUAAAAUGGAAGGCUUUACGUUGGUUUCUAUAAUAUCUGGUCUGUUAUAUUUAUGUACCUAAAAAAAAAAAAAAAAACAAUUUUAGGCAGGAAAACUUCAAAUCACUGGAAAAUUAAGAUACUUGGAAAUGGAUCACUUUCAGAGGUGACAGGAUAUUUUCCAGAGGAGUAGGCCUCCUAUAAGGUAGCCAAUGAAAACUCAAUUCAUUUCAGUAAAAAUUAGUAAUAUUUCAUAUUUAGAGGACUAAUUCCAACAUCAAGAAUAAACUUUUUAAAUGGUUUAAGAAGCACUGCUUAUCCUUAGACCAGGAAUCUGAACUAUUUCUAACAAAUUUCAGUAGCUCCGAAGACAAGGGACUGCGGCUGACGCUGUCUCCCCUGUGCAGGCUCUUGCUCCGCUUAGCACUUCAUGCAGGGAGGAGUUUUGAAGUCCUCUUACCAGUCUCAGAGCUUCUUCCCAGGCAGCUCCUUCUAACAGCAAGAGCACAGCUUCUUCAUAAUCCUGACAGGGGAACAUCAAGGAAGGUAACAGGCUAAUGGAGCAAGUGUGUUAGAUGCCACCCUAAUAAACUGCAAAACUGCCCACAGAGCUGCCUCCCUCUGCCUUUCCAGCCUAUCACUCACAGUCCCAGUUGGUGGGACUGGCCUAGAGUACAUGCUCGAUAAAUAUUGAUGCAAGAGACAAAGGAGGGGUGUCAAUUCUGGAAAUGAUCACAAAGCACAAGGUAAGCAUCACCUCUCUACAUCCCUGAGCAUCAAAACCACGAGAAAGACUGUUAGAAAUGCGCAUUUCCCCAGCUGCGCCUCCAAAUCUGAUUCCAGAGGUUUAGGUGGACUCCUGAAUUGACAAGUGCACACUCUGGAAAAAUGGUAGACUAGAAUAGUAACCUUCUAAACCAUUUUUUCUUUUUUAAUGUUUAUUUUUUUAUUUUGAACUUCAAACUUAACAAAAAACUGAUGAGUGUAAUAAACACCUGCAUACCCUACAGUCUUUAACCAUUUGUGAUGCUUGUACCCUUAUCACUAAAAACUUUUGAUCACGUACCCCAAUACAUAAUUAGUUAAUGUACUUAAAAAGCAUAUAAAACAAAACACGUUUUUAAAAGAUGACCUAUAUGAGGCAACUGGCUGAGUUUCUUCAAGUAAUCUCUGUCAUAAAAAGGGGGGGGGUGUAUACAUUAGAUAAAAGGGAUUUAAAGGACGUAACAAAAUGCAAUACCUGUCCCUAGACUGGAAUCUAAUUUGGAUCGAUCUACUGUAAACAAUUUUGGAAUAUUGAGGGAACUUAAAUUUUAAUUAUUAGAUGAAUUAAAAUGUGUCAACAUGGAGAGAUGAAGAUCAUAACCAAACACACCAAAUUUACAAACAGAACAAACAGCAUAAUUUCAUUUUGGUUAAAAAUACGUGCGUGUGUGUGUGUGUGUGUGUGUGUGUGUGGAGAGAGGGGGUGGCGAAGAGACAGAAAGGAGAGAGAAAACUCUAGAAAGAAAACAAGAGGUGCUAAUAAUAGCAAUCUCUGAGUGGUAGGAAUGAGAUGUUUUUAUUUUCUUGUAUGUGCUUUCAGCACUUUAAACAAUCUAUAAUACAUAUAUACUACUUUAAAUAGGUUAUUUUUAAUUAAAAAGAUUGAUUAAACAUUUUCUCCCGAGAGCCCAAAGGAUCCUUGCAGGUCUGUACCACGUGUCCCAGAGUAACGCGGUAGGAUGUGUUUUGCUUGACUGGCAAUGUGUGAGUGUGUGUGUUUUAUUGAGAUCAAAUUCACAUAACAUACACUGAAUGAUUUUAAAGUGUGUAAUUCGAUGGUGUUUACUGUAUCACAAUGUUGGUAACCACAAGCUCUCCCUUUCAAAAUUUUUUUAUCAUCACAUAAAAACACUCCAUAUCCAUUAACCAAUCCCUCCUUAUUUCCCACUCCUCUCACCCCCUAACUUCUAACCUGCUUUCUGUCUCUCUGGAUUUGCCUAAUCUGGAUAUAUUGUAAAAAAGGAACCACACAAUAGGUGACUUUUUGUGUCUGACUUAUUUCACUUAGCAUAUGUUUUUAAGGUUCAUCCAAGUUGUACCAUCUACUGGUUCUUUGUUCCUUUCUUUCCCCUUAUUUUUUUUGAUUGUAGUAAAAUUUAAUAUAAAAUUUACCCUUUUAACCAUUUACUGUAUAGUUCGGUGGCAUUAAGCAAAUUCACACUGUUGUGAAACCAUCACCACCAUCAGUCUCCAAAACUUUUUUUUAUCUUGCAAAACUGAAAUUCUAUAUCCAUUAAACAGUAAAUCCCCAUGUUCCCCUACCCCCAGACUCUAGCAACCAUCAUUAUACUUUCUGUCCAGAUGAAUUUGACUACUCUAGUUACUUCAUGUAAGUAGAAUCAUACAAUAUUUGUCCUUUUAUGUGAGUUAUUUCACUCAGCAUAAUGUUUUCAAGUUUCAUCUAAGUUGUAGCAUGCAUCAAUUUUUCAUUCUUUUUUAUGACUGAAUAAUAUUCCUGUGUGUGUGUGUGUGUGUGUGUGUGUGUGUGUGUGUAUCUGUGCAUGUAUGCACGUAUCACAAUUUAUUCAUCUGUUCAUCUGUCAUUGAUGGACAUUUGGGUUGUUUCCACCUUUUGGCUAUUAUAAUGCUCUAAAAUAUAAACAUUUGUAUACAAGUUUCUUUGUGGACAUAUGUUUCCAUUUCUCGAGUAUAUAUUUAGGGGUGGAACUGCUGAAUCAUAUGGUAAUGCUAUGCUUAACUUUUUAAGGAACCACCAAACUUUUCCAUAGCAGCUGCACCAUUUUACCUUCCCACUAGCAAUAUACAAGGGUUCCUAUUUCUCCACAUCUUUGACACUUAUUUUUCAUUCUUUUGAUUAAAAUGAUUCUAGUGGGUAUGAAGUGAUAGCCCACUGUGGUUUUGAUUUACAUUUCCUUAAUGAACAACGAUGUUGAACAUCUCUUCAUGUGGUUAAUGGCCAUCUGUAUAUCUUCUUUGGAGAAAUAUCCAAGUCUUUUGGCCAUUUCAAACAAAAUGAGUUGUUUGUCCUUUUGUUCUUGAGUUGUAAGAGUUCUUUACAUAUUCUGGACAUAACAAGGAAACUAUAAACCAAUAUUCCUUGUGAACAAGCAAAAAAGCCUCAAGUAAACUUUCAAAUCCACCAAUAUAGGUCAUACAUUAUGACCAAGUUAGGUUUAACUCAGGGAUGCAAGAUUGGUUUAACAUUCAAAAGUCAGUGCAGAUGAGUGAUCAAGAUGGUGGAGUAGUAGGACAUGAAGCUCACCCCCUCCCACAAAUAUAUCAGAAAUACACAUACAUGUGGAACAAUUCUCACAGAAUAUCUACCAAACGCUGGCAGAGGACCUCAGAACUCUGAAUGAGCAAGAAAAUCUCCCUGUAACUGGGUAGGACAAAAGAAAAAAAAAAGAGAAAGGAAUCGGGACAGGACCUGGGCCCUUGGGAGGGAUCUGUGAAAGAGGAAAGGUUCCUGUACCCUGGGAAGUCCCCUCACCAGUGGGGAGAUUAGCUGGGACAGAGGGGGAGCUUUGGAGCCUGGGAGGAGAAUGCAGCAACUGGUUUGCAGCAGCUAGAAUGGAGAGACAGACAGUGCCACCGCCCUGCACUCCCCAGCCUAAGACACAUGUCCUCUGGUAUGGGCGGGGGCUGGGUGUGUAAACUUGGGCUUCAGAGAUGAGACCCAGGUAGACAACUGGAGUGGGCUGCACGCAGACAGCCUGAAGGGGCUGGAGUCUGGUGCAGCCACACCUGGGAGUGCACGCGGAGGAAAGCUAGGCUGCUUUAGAGGCCAGGUGCCAUUGUGUGGGCCGUGCGCGAGGGGAGGGGCAGGACCUGCCACUACAGCCUUUUUCCCUGCAGGAGCUCUCAGGCAGCAGAACACCGCCUACACGAGCUCCAGGAGCGGUCACGAGCAGCAACUGCCCUCUGGGCUUUAGGAGUAAUCACCAGCUGCCACCACCACCCUUCUGGACUCCAGGAUUGGUCGUGAGCUGCCUCUACUCCCUUUGCAUGCUCUAGGGGUGCACGUGAUCUGCCAGUGCCACCGAGAACCCCAAGACCAGGCACUAGCUCCCAUAUCUGCACACCCCCUGUCAAGGGGAUGAUGGCCGGCACAUGCUGAGGAAAGAGGCUACAGGUAAAAAAAAAACAGCCCUCAUGGGACUUUACUGGUGGUCCAGUGGUUAAGAAUCUGCUUCCAAUGCAGGAGAUGUAGGUUCGAUCCCUGGUUGGGGAACUAAGAUCCCACAUGCCACGGGACAACUAAGCCUGCAUGCUCUGUAGCCCCCAUGUCACAACUAGAGAGAAGCCCCUGUGCAACUAGAGAGGAGCCCAUGCGCCGCAAUGAAAGAUCCAAUGUGCCGCAACAAAGAUCCCACGUGCCACAACUAAGACCUGAUGCAGCCAAAUAAAUAAACAAAUAAAUAAUAAAAACAGCCCUCGCACCAAAAAUAUUAAACCCACACAAGAGACACAGGGACAGACCCACAUAUAAAUAGCCCUCCAAGACGAGUAGCUAACUGUUUCUCCUAAACUCACAGAAUAAGAGAAAUAUAAGUAAAAUGAAGAAGCAGAGGAACCACUCACAGUUAAAAGACCAAGAGAAUUCCCCUGAAAGAACAAAUAAACAGACCUCUUCAGUCAAAUAGACACCAAUUUCAAAAAGGAGAUAAUGCAAAUACUGAAAGAACUAAGGAAGGCUACUGACAGAAAUGCAGAGUACUGUAAAAAAAAAAAAAAAAAGGAACUAGAAACUAUAAAGUAUAACCAAGAAAAAUUAGAGAACUCAUUUGCUGAGAUGACAACUGAACUAAAAGCAAUGAACAGCAGAAUAAAUAAUGCACAAGAACAAAUAAGUGACCUGGAAGAUAUCAACAGAAUAAUGGAAAUCACCUAAUCAGGACAGCAGACAGAAAGGCAAAUUAAAAAAAAAAGAAAAUGAAAGCAAUAUAAGAGACCUAUGGGAUAAUAUAAAGCAUGCCAAUGGGGAUUGAAAAUGUAUUUGAAGAAAUUAUGGCUGAAAACUUCCCAAACAUAAAGAAGGAAACAUAUCCAGGUAUAGGAAACACAGAGGGUCCCAAACAAGGUAAGCCCAAAUAGACCUACACCAAGACAUAUUAUAAUACAAAUAGCAAAAUUUAAAGAUAAAGAGAGGAUUCUAAAAGCAGCAAGAGAAAAACAAAGAGUUAAUUACAAGGGGACCCCCACAAGGCUAUCAGCUGAUUUCUCUACAGAAACGUUGCAAGGCCAGAAGGGAGGGGCAAGAUAUAUUCAAAGUUCUGAAAGGGAAAAGUCUGCAACCUAUGAUACUCUACCCAGCAAGAUUAUCAUUUAGAAUAGAAGGAAAGAUAAAGAAUUUCUCAGACAAGCAGAAACUAAAAGAAUACAGCAAUACUAAACCUAUCCUAAAGGAAAUAUUGAAAGGUCUUCUCUAAAUAGAAAAGAAGAAUAUAUAAGAAAGAGAAAAUCACAAUUGGAAAGCAAAUCACCUAAAUAAGCCAGUACAGAGAUUAAAAAAAAAAUUUUAAAUUUCUGUGAAAGUGAUAACCACAAUAAACAGCAAAAGGAUGAACAUGAAGAUGUAAAAGAGGACAUCAAAAUCAUAAAGUGUGGGGGAGGAGAGUAAGAAAAUGUAGAUUUUUUUUUUUCAUUUCCUAGAAUGUGUUUGAGCCUAUAUGACUAGCAGUCUAAGGCAAGCAGAUACAGGAUGGGGUUAACACAGUGGAAAAACAGGGUAACCACAAAUCAAAGACAUACAAUAGAUUAAUAAAACCAAAAAGAACGUAAGUGUAACACAAAAGAAAAUCAUCGAACCACAAAAGAUAAAAAGAAAAAGGGACAAAGAAAAAAUAUAAAAUCAACAGGAAAACAAGGUUAAAAAGGCAAUUAAUACAUAUCUAUCAAUAAUUACCUUAAAUGUCAAUGGACUAAAUGCUUAAAUCAAAAGACACAGAGUGGCAGACUGAAUUAAAAAAAUGAGCCUACAAUACCUGCCUGCAAGAGACCCAUUUCAGGGCAAUGAACACACAGAGAUUGAAAGUGAGGGGACAGAAAAAGAUAUUUCAUGCAAACGGAAAUGACAAGAAAAGUGGGAGUCACAACGCUCAUAUCAGACAAAAUAGACUUUAAAACAAAGUCCAUAAAGAAGGAUAAAGACGGACACUAUAUAAUAAAAGGAUCAACACAAGAAGAGGAUUUUACACUCGUCAACAUAUAUUCACCUAAUAUAGGAGCAUCCAAAUACACAAAAAAAUACUAACAGACAUAAAGGGAGAAACUGACAGGAAUACAAUAAUAGUAGGAGACUUUUAACACCCCACUCACAUCAAUGGACAGAUCUUCUAGACAGAAAAUCAAUAAGGCAACAGAGAUCCUAAAUGAUACAAUAGAACAGUUAGACUUAAUUGAUAUUUUCAGGGCAUUACAUCCAAAAAAACCCAUAAUACACAUUCUUUCCAAGUGCACAUUAAACAUUCUCUAGGAUUGACAACAUACUAGGGCACAAAACAAGCCUCAACAAAUUUCAGAGUAUAGAUGUUAUCUCAAGGAUCUUUUCUGACCACAAUGCCAUGAAACUAAAAAUCAACCACAGGAAAAGAAAUGAGGAAAAAAAUGACUACAUGAAGACUAGACAACAUGCUACUAAAAAACCAACAGGUCAAUGAUGAAAUCAAAGAGGAAAUUAAAAAAUACCUUGAAACAAAUGACAAUGAAAACAGAACCAUACAAAAUUUAUGGGAUGCAGCAAAACCAUUUCUUAGAGGGAAGUUCAUAGUGAUACAGGCCUUAUUCAAAAAACAAGAAAAAUCUCAACAACCUAACCAACCACUUAAAACAAUUACAAAAAGAAGAACAAAUAAAAGAAUUAUAAAAAGUAAUUCAUGAAUAAAAGUAAUUCAUGAAGUAAUUCAUGAAUUACAUGAAGUCAGUAGAAGGAAGGAAUUAAUAAAAAUCAGGGAGGAAAUAAAGAUUUAAAAAACAACAGAAAAAAAAUCAAUAAAACAAAGAGCUUGUUCUUUUAAAGGGUAAACAAGAUGACAAGCCUCUGGCAAGACUCACCAAGAAGAAGAGAGAGAGAACCCAAAUAAACAAAAUAAGAAAUGAAAAAGGAGACAUGACAACUGAUACUGCACAAAUACAAAAAACCAUAAGGGAAUACUAUGAACAACUAUAUGCCAACAAAUUGACAACCCAGAAGAAAUGGACAAGUUUCUAGAAACAUAGAACCCACCAAAAUUGAAUCAAGAAGACACAGAUAAUUUGAAAAACCAAUCACUAGAGGUGAAAUAGU